GACGAACGCUGGCGGCGUGCCUAAUACAUGCAAGUCGAACGCUUCUUUCCUCCCGAGUGCUUGCACUCAAUUGGAAAGAGGAGUGGCGGACGGGUGAGUAACACGUGGGUAACCUACCCAUCAGAGGGGGAUAACACUUGGAAACAGGUGCUAAUACCGCAUAACAGUUUAUGCCGCAUGGCAUAAGAGUGAAAGGCGCUUUCGGGUGUCGCUGAUGGAUGGACCCGCGGUGCAUUAGCUAGUUGGUGAGGUAACGGCUCACCAAGGCCACGAUGCAUAGCCGACCUGAGAGGGUGAUCGGCCACACUGGGACUGAGACACGGCCCAGACUCCUACGGGAGGCAGCAGUAGGGAAUCUUCGGCAAUGGACGAAAGUCUGACCGAGCAACGCCGCGUGAGUGAAGAAGGUUUUCGGAUCGUAAAACUCUGUUGUUAGAGAAGAACAAGGACGUUAGUAACUGAACGUCCCCUGACGGUAUCUAACCAGAAAGCCACGGCUAACUACGUGCCAGCAGCCGCGGUAAUACGUAGGUGGCAAGCGUUGUCCGGAUUUAUUGGGCGUAAAGCGAGCGCAGGCGGUUUCUUAAGUCUGAUGUGAAAGCCCCCGGCUCAACCGGGGAGGGUCAUUGGAAACUGGGAGACUUGAGUGCAGAAGAGGAGAGUGGAAUUCCAUGUGUAGCGGUGAAAUGCGUAGAUAUAUGGAGGAACACCAGUGGCGAAGGCGGCUCUCUGGUCUGUAACUGACGCUGAGGCUCGAAAGCGUGGGGAGCAAACAGGAUUAGAUACCCUGGUAGUCCACGCCGUAAACGAUGAGUGCUAAGUGUUGGAGGGUUUCCGCCCUUCAGUGCUGCAGCAAACGCAUUAAGCACUCCGCCUGGGGAGUACGACCGCAAGGUUGAAACUCAAAGGAAUUGACGGGGGCCCGCACAGGCGGUGGAGCAUGUGGUUUAAUUCGAAGCAACGCGAAGAACCUUACCAGGUCUUGACAUCCUUUGACCACUCUAGAGAUAGAGCUUUCCCUUCGGGGACAAAGUGACAGGUGGUGCAUGGUUGUCGUCAGCUCGUGUCGUGAGAUGUUGGGUUAAGUCCCGCAACGAGCGCAACCCUUAUUGUUAGUUGCCAUCAUUUAGUUGGGCACUCUAGCGAGACUGCCGGUGACAAACCGGAGGAAGGUGGGGAUGACGUCAAAUCAUCAUGCCCCUUAUGACCUGGGCUACACACGUGCUACAAUGGGAAGUACAACGAGUCGCUAGACCGCGAGGUCAUGCAAAUCUCUUAAAGCUUCUCUCAGUUCGGAUUGCAGGCUGCAACUCGCCUGCAUGAAGCCGGAAUCGCUAGUAAUCGCGGAUCAGCACGCCGCGGUGAAUACGUUCCCGGGCCU
This 1381-nucleotide ribosomal RNA is filed under the name uncultured bacterium. RNAcentral's name for it is "bacterial SSU rRNA". It matches the Rfam family "Bacterial small subunit ribosomal RNA", at positions 28 to 1381 of the family's 1533-position model. The record is from RNAcentral.